GACGAACGCUGGCGGCGCGCCUAACACAUGCAAGUCGAACGGAGAAGUUAGCAAUAACUUUUUAGUGGCGAACGGGUGAGUAACGCGUAGACAACCAACCUUACAGCGGGGGACAACACUUCGAAAGGAGUGCUAAUACCGCAUACGCUCCUGUGUUCGCAUGGAUGGAGGAGGAAAGGAGCCGCAAGGCUUCACUGUAAGACGGGUCUGCGUCUGAUUAGCUAGUUGGUGAGGUAACGGCUCACCAAGGCGACGAUCCGUAGCUGGUCUGAGAGGACGACCAGCCACACUGGGACUGAGACACGGCCCAGACUCCUACGGGAGGCAGCAGUGGGGAAUAUUGGACAAUGGGGGCAACCCUGAUCCAGCGACGCUGCGUGUGUGAAGAAGGCCUGCGGGUUGUAAAGCGCUUUUAGUGGGGAUGAAAAGCCGAGGGCUAAUACUCUUCGGUCUUGACCUAACCCAAAGAAAAAGCACCGGCUAACUCUGUGCCAGCCGCCGCCGUAA
This 507-nucleotide ribosomal RNA is filed under the name uncultured bacterium. RNAcentral's name for it is "partial 16S ribosomal RNA". It matches the Rfam family "Bacterial small subunit ribosomal RNA", at positions 28 to 523 of the family's 1533-position model. The record is from RNAcentral.